GUGCUAAGGUAGCAUAAUCAUUUGCUACUUAAUUGGUAGCUGGAAUGAAAGGUUAAACUAGCUUACUCAGUUUGUUGUGUUUUGUAAGAAAUUAAAGUCGAGGUAAGAAUUCUUUGAUCUGCUAGGGGACGAUAAGACCCUAGAAGCUUAACAAUAAGAGUAUUUAUUAGUUAUAAAAAUUAAUUUGUUUUACUGGGGCGGUAAAGGUAUAUAAACUAUUAGUGUAUUGAUAGAUCCUUAAAAUAAAGAUAAAACGGGAAAGUUACUCUAGGGGUAACAGUGCAAUAUUUUUGGAGAGAUCAUAUCGAUAAAAAUGUUUGCAACCUCGAUGUUGAAUUAAGAUGUCUACGUGAAGCAGCAGGUACGUGAGAGGGUUUGUUC
Molecule: ribosomal RNA, 381 nt
Filed under: Gammarus sp. lacustris-type BLHM01L
Lineage: Eukaryota; Metazoa; Arthropoda; Malacostraca; Amphipoda; Gammaridae
Description: partial 16S ribosomal RNA
Rfam family: Bacterial large subunit ribosomal RNA
Source: RNAcentral